RNAcentral lists this long non-coding RNA (1383 nucleotides) under Homo sapiens (human). Its description in RNAcentral is "HSALNT0314152". The record is from RNAcentral. Lineage: Eukaryota; Metazoa; Chordata; Mammalia; Primates; Hominidae.
GUUUUCUUGGGAAAGAGAAGACAUCAAACAGGCAUAUGAGGUAGAGGAUAAUAAAGAAUAUUACCUCCUUUUCAAGUACCUUGAUUUUUUUGAAGUUUUCUCGAAGUUGGUUUACCAGUUUCACAAUAACACAGAGCAACUAGAAGAUCAAAAUUCCUUGUAUGAGGGAAGAGUAUCUGUGGACCAGGCUGAAAUUUCUGAGGGGACUCUAUCACUUUUACUAAGAAAUGUGGAUUUCAUGGAUGAAGCUAUCUACAAGUGCUCAGCCAUCACACCAGAUGGAAGAGGUGAAAGUACAAUUAAGCUAAUAGUAGAAGGAUUGCAUGAAGAGCUUUUCCCCCAUCAGAGACUUUCAGGGAUUGGGGAAGGCAUGGCAGAAUUCCUCCAGGAUAAGAGUUGGAAGACAUGAGAAGGUGGUGGUUGUGAGAAUAAUUCGUUAUCUUCUGUGGUUCUCAGCAGGGUAUGUGGAGUUCAGUGGUGAAUCUGGAAUGAAUCCACUCAAAGAGGGGAAGAUUCCAAAAGAUAAAGGCAGCAGUGAUAGAUGAGAACUGAAAGGCAGGAGCAUACAUGUAUCCUGUUCUUCUCUUACUAUGCUUGGAUCAAAAUUUUAACUACAGUGAAUCUCAAGAUAUAUUGCCUACAUAACGGGUUAAUGUAAAAAGCGAGAGCAUGUAUUCUGCUAGCCUGAGCCUCUUGGGGCUGAAAUAAAAAAGGAACUAAUUGUUUUGUUAUUUUUUCCAAUCAGACUCUGAAAUGCCCCAGGUGCAAUUUGACAGGAUUGAUGAUGAGGAUGUGGCCACAUGCAUCUCAAAGGACUAGUACCUCACGCCCAUUGUGACAUGGCUGGACCGGACAGAGAGGGACCUGAGCAACCACAGCAUCGUGGAAAUCCUGGAGGAGCAGAUGAAUGGCUUCUACAGGGUGUUCUCCAUCCUGAAAUACCCUGUCAAGUUAAAUGAGAAAUAUCUCUGCCACAUAACAGAGACAGAUGUGAACAACCAGCUCUUCAGAAUCAUCCACAAGUAUCCAAGCUCCCUCAUGCUGCUGCCCUGGGAAAGGAUCAGCUUCCCCAUGUUACUUUCAAGAUGGCUCCCCAGAUGGUGCAAGGGAUUCUGGAAGAAACAUCUAUCCAAAUUUCUAGAUAGAAGGGGAAGAUGUAGCUAACAACUCUCCUCUCCUGCUUGCCAUGUGUCACAGGUGUUCCACUCUAAUGUUGUAUAAUGAAGGUGUGCAUGAAACAACUAUUAGGCCUUUGCUUAGUACGUACUUAUCAUUCUUGUCCUAAUUCCUAGGAACAGGUCUCUGAUGUCCUUUAUUCACUAUACAAUUUUCCCUGACGAAACUUCCCUGUUUACCUUGUGAAGUCUUGAUUAAUUAAUGGAA